AUUGAACGCUGGCGGCAUGCCUUACACAUGCAAGUCGAACGGCAGCACGGGAGCAAUCCUGGUGGCGAGUGGCGAACGGGUGAGUAAAGUAUCGGAACGUGCCCAGUCGUGGGGGAUAACGUAGCGAAAGUUACGCUAAUACCGCAUACGAUCUAUGGAUGAAAGCGGGGGAUCGCAAGACCUCGCGCGCUUGGAGCGGCUGAUAUGAGAUUAGGUAGUUGGUGGGGUAAAGGCUCACCAAGCCGACGAUCGGUAGCUGGUCUGAGAGGACGACCAGCCACACUGGGACUGAGACACGGCCCAGACUCCUACGGGAGGCAGCAGUGGGGAAUUUUGGACAAUGGGCGAAAGCCUGAUCCAGCCAUGCCGCGUGCAGGAUGAAGGCCUUCGGGUUGUAAACUGCUUUUGUACGGAACGAAAAGGUUUGGCCUAAUAAGCUGAGCUCAUGACGGUACCGUAAGAAUAAGCACCGGCUAACUACGUGCCAGCAGCCGCGGUAA
RNAcentral lists this ribosomal RNA (500 nucleotides) under uncultured bacterium. Its description in RNAcentral is "partial 16S ribosomal RNA". It matches the Rfam family "Bacterial small subunit ribosomal RNA", at positions 30 to 523 of the family's 1533-position model. The record is from RNAcentral.